Molecule: ribosomal RNA, 443 nt
Filed under: uncultured bacterium
Lineage: Bacteria
Description: partial 16S ribosomal RNA
Rfam family: Bacterial small subunit ribosomal RNA
Source: RNAcentral
CCUACGGGUGGCAGCAGUGGGGAAUAUUGCACAAUGGGCGAAAGCCUGAUGCAGCAACGCCGCGUGAAGGAAGAAGGGUUUCGGCUCGUAAACUUCUAUCAGCAGGGACGAAAGACAUGACGGUACCUGUAUAAGAAGCCCAGGCUAACUACGUGGCAGCAGCCGCGGUAAUACGGAGGGGGCAAGCGUUAUCCGGAUGUACUGGGUGUAAGGGGUGAGUAGGCGGAAUGGUAAGCCAGAGGUGAAAGCCCUGGGCUUAACCCGAGGAUUGCAUUUGGUACUAUCAAGCUAGAGUACAGGAGAGGAAAGCGGAAUUCCUAGUGUAGCGGUGAAAUGCGUAGAUAUUAGGAAGAACACCAGUGGCGAAGGCGGCUUUCUGGACUGAAACUGACGCUGAGGCACGAAAGCGUGGGGAGCGAACAGGAUUAGAUACCCUUGUAGUC